UAAAUCACAAUGCGGGACUGUUAGUCUUGCAAUUGGAUUGAGAACAACGUACAACUCUUAUCGAUAAGCCAUUGGAGGGCAAGUCUGGUGCCAGCAGCCGCGGUAAUUCCAGCUCCAAUAGCGUAUAUUAACGUUGUUGCAGUUAAAAAGCUCGUAGUUGAAGUGAGGGAGUGUGUGGGUAUGAGAGCUAGUCUCAAGUACUUACAACCUCCCCCCUCCAAUCGGUGUAGUGGGGUAUUCACUUAUUCUACUACUCCUUUGGUCGUUUACUGUGAGAAAAUUAGAGUGUUCAAAGCGGGCGUUUGUUUGAAUAGAUUAGCAUGGAAUAAUGAUUGAAGGCUUUCGUGUUCGAUUUGAUUGGUUUGUUCAUGGAAGCAAGGUUAAAAGGAACAGUUGGGGGUAUUCAUAUUCACUAGUUAGAGGUGAAAUUCUCG
This 434-nucleotide ribosomal RNA is filed under the name Blastocystis sp. RNAcentral describes it as "bacterial SSU rRNA". It matches the Rfam family "Eukaryotic small subunit ribosomal RNA", at positions 474 to 922 of the family's 1831-position model. Lineage: Eukaryota; Bigyra; Opalinata; Blastocystidae. The record is from RNAcentral.